Gordionus sp. m RMFG-2023 is the source of this 291-nucleotide long non-coding RNA. RefSeq lists it as uncharacterized. The transcript has 3 exons. The record is from RefSeq and is a predicted model, not a curated record. Lineage: Eukaryota; Metazoa; Nematomorpha; Gordioida; Chordodea; Parachordodidae.
CUAUAAAAUUAGCAUAUGGAAAAUUUAAUAUCAUCAAGUGCUGGAAGUGAAGUAGAUUUUGAGUCAGAUGAUGAUUAUUUGUAUAACAGCAAUCACAACUCGGAGACAGAGGAGGACAAUAUAGAUAUUAUGUGUGUGAAGAUAGCUAUAAAUAUUGUCACAGUAAAGAUGGAAAAACUAAAUGUAAUAUGGAAUGCCUUACACAAAAAGGACAAGAUCCCAUAAUAUAAUAUUAUAUUUGCCAGGGGUUAAAUCUCAUGCAAAAAAUGCAAAAUCACCAUAGAAAGCCUC